CUCCCCACCCAAAGGGCUCUGGGUGAGCCACUAUCAGCUCAGAACAAAGAGUCCAAAAAUUUUCCUUCUUAUUUUCCAAAACUCAAAAGUUCUUGAGUUUCAAGGCCUUGGCUAUGUGUGAAUUCCUUAAAGGCGGCUGAAGUAACCGCUGAUUUUAAAAAAAUUUUUAUUUUUAUUUAUAUAUUUGUCUUUUUAGGGCUAUACCCAAAGCAUAUGGAAGUUCCCAGGCUAGGGGUCAAAUUGGAGCUGCAACCACCAGCCUACACCACAGCCACAGCAACACAGGAUCUGAGCCUCAUCUGUGACCUACACCACAACUCAUAGCAAUGCCGGAUCCUUACGCACUGAGUGAGGUCAGAGAUCAAACCCUGUAUCCUCAUGGGUCCUAGUUGUAUUCAUUACUAUGAGCCAAAAAAGGAGCUUGGAAGUGUCCUUUUCUGCGAGGAGCAAAUUCCUCCGCAGGACUCCUGAGCUUAAGAGGAAGGUGGAGAAUGUUCUUACUUGGGAGUUGAGUAGGGGUGGUCAGGCCCAGCCCAAACAGCUUGCUGGGGGCACCUCGAUUCCUGACGUGGAAGCUUGAGGCUGACCCACUUGGGUCAGACACGGUCACACCAUCCAUACCCCAGAACUCCUCCCGACUCCUGACGUGCUCUGGGUCUGGUGUGGCCCACAGUGGAUGCCUGCCUGACCGUCCCUGGAGUAGCCCCUCCUCUCCUAUGCUGGAUGGAGCAGAGAUGGGAGAAGGCAGGGAGCAGCUGGCAGCUGUGGUGGCUUGGCAGUGAUGGGCUGAACCUGACUCAUGGCCCUGUCAUCGCACUUGGUGGAGGACUGACCCACAGAGGAAAUUACACAGCAUUCUGCGGCCCAUGGUAGAGGCAGGGGCUUUUUUCAAGUGCAUCAGCUGGGAAGUAGCCUUCAUCCACGCCAGAAUCUUAGGCUUGGGGACCCUUACUAACUGCAGGUGGGGGAACGAGGGGACCUGUGCAAAUCUCUUCCAUAGCUCCCCAUUGGCUGCUGGGGCACCCAGAGCCCCAGCCAGUCUGUGACAGAGCUGCCUUACUCCCCAAACCAGCCUUCCACACACAUUUCCUCAGGCUGCACCUCCUGGUCCAGCCUUAGGCAUUCAUAGUCCCCAGGAGCUUUUGCUGAGGGACCCUCAGUCUGAAAGGACAAUGCCUCCAAUAAAACCAGGGCUACUCCCCUCAGGUGGCUGUGUAACUCUGGGCAAUUAAGUUAAACUCACUGAAUCUUCUUUUUUUCAUCUGUAAAAUGGGCCUAGAUUGUGUACCUCCUAAAUUAUGGUGAGGAUUAGAUGAGGAUCUAUGCAAAGGGCCUGGCACAAUGCCCAGCAUGCAGCAGGUGUUCAGAUACACAUUCCUUGUUCCAAGCCUGCUCUGCCUGAGGCAGAAUUUAAAUUGGCACCAACCCCCAGGUCUCAAGUCUCAGGGCUCUUUUGUCUCCCUCCCCCAUAUCCAGUCUCCCAACUCUUCAUGCAAAUGUGUGGCUGGAGGAAGAGGCGGAAGCCAGAUCAUCCUCAUGGAGGAGCUGGAGGGAUGGCUUAUCUUGAGAUGCCCACCCAAGGGGUGGACCACUGAGAAGGGUUCCUUCCCACCCACCCUCCUCUGGCCUAACCCGAUCUGACAGCCCAGGGCCAUCCUGCUCCCUGGAGUGGAGGGGACUUGCUACCUGCUCCCAAAGCUGGAGAAGGGUGACUGGAGGGCAGAAGGGAAGAAGUGACAGGCGGGACCCUGGGUCCUGCACUAGAGUUAGUCCUUGCAGCCACCCCUGGGAAAACCUUCAGCCCCAGGAGGACUCUGACUGGUUGGAAUAUUCCCCUGGAAUCCAGAGGGCAGGACUCUUUUGUUGAUUCUUCCAGCCCCUCUGUGCUGCUGUCUGGGACAAAAACUGCACUGCCAUCCCUUUCCAUGACAGGGGACCUGAGCUGGGAUUACCAUGUGCCAGUUACGGGGAGGCCUGCAGGGCUGAGCAGCUAAAGCCUUGCCUCUCUAGGAAUUACCAAAGGAAUACAUCAAGGAAGUAUGUAACUGGAGUUCUUGCUGUGAUAUGCAGUGGGUUCAGAAUCUGACUGCAGGGGCUCAGAGGUGCGGGUUCCAUCCCCUGCCUGGUGCAGCAGUUUAGCAGAUCCAUCGUUGCUGCAGGUGUGGCUCAGAUUCAGUCUCUGGCCUGGGAACUUCCAUAUACUGGGGUGCAGGCAAAAGAAAAAAGAAAAAGGAAAAAAGGAAGAAAGUGUUAGAAGAAGAUAUUGCUCAAGCCUCUCCUCCUCCUAACCCGCUAUCCACUGUCACCCUUAAGCUCCUGCCCCCUCCUGUAUUGCCCACUUUUCCUUCCACCUGGCGCCCCAUCCACCAGCACCCCCAGCUCUGGAGCACCUCCCCAGGGCUCCCUUUAGGGCUCCAAUUCACUCCUGGGCUCAAGGAUGUCUCAACCACUAGCCUUGAAGCUUCCCCAGCCCCAGGCCAGCUCUUGGACCUGGUCCUCUGAAGUUUGCACAAUGUCCAGCACAUAGUAGGUGCUUGGCAUUUGCAAAAAGUCCCUUGGUGAGGCCAAAUGCUGUUGUGUAUAUAUGUGCACACGUGGGUAAAGGAGCAAAUUCAUUGCUUCCUGCCUGGCCAGUACUAGACUCUGCUCUCAGGGUAUCUCAUGUAAUCAAAGUAAUUUGUGUAAUUGCUUCCAGGGUGGCUUUGCGUGCAGACAUUCCUCAGUGGAGGUGGGGGUGAAGGGAGCUCUAUUUCUAUUUUUAUCUACCCCAUUGAAGGUGCUCAGUUCACAGGGCCCCUUAUUGCCUCUGGCACUUUCCUCUACAUUCAGCUGCAACUGGAAGCUUUGUAAAAGGAGCUGGUUGCUCCAUAUCCAGUCACCUCACCUCCUCCCUCUGUGCCCUGUGGGCUCCAGGGUCUGUGUCCCCUUCUGGAAGACCCUCCUUUUUAGCCCCGCCCCCCAGGCCAAUGCUGGGCUGGAUGGUGCCGAACCCCUGCUUCCUCCUGCAACCUGGGAGCCUAGAUGGGAUGGGACAUCUCUCUUCAUCCUCCAUCCUCAGCAGUUCAAGUGUUCUCUCAGGCUAAUGUCCCCCUCCCUGCAGCAGCUUGGCUUUGAGGGCAGACCAGGAUUCCACAGGGCUAAGGAGCUCCCCUGGGACCCUUGCAAACCCAUUGAGUUUGCUUUAUUUCCAUCCUCCACUCAAGUGCAGUAUGGCUUUGGAGACACGAGAUUCAGGAUGUUGGAGUUCCCGUUGUGGCUCAGUGGGUUAAGAACUCAACACAGUGCCUGUGAGGAUGCAGAUUUGAUCUCUGGCCUCGCUCAGGGUUAAGGAUCUGGCAUUGCUACAAGCUGUAGCCUAGGUUGUAGAUGUGGCUCGGAACUGGUGUUGCCCUGCCUGCGGUGUAGGCCUACGGCUGCAGCUGUGAUUUAACCUCUAGCUCAGGAACUUCCAUAUGCUGCAGAUGUGCAUGUAUAAAAAAAAACCCAAGAUUCAGAAUGUUACAUCCAGGAAAAAAUCAUGGUUAUUCUACAUCCAGGCUGGAGGAGGCAAGGCUCAGAGAGAUAGUUCUAGGGACAUCUCUCCCCAGGGAGUGAAAACCAGGAGACUCAUGACCCCUUUACUGGCUGGCUUGCUGGGUGUUGAGGAAGCCUGGAAGCUGAGUCCACUGGGGUGGGAAACCAAGACUGUCCACCGCCUCUGGGCUGGCCCUCGAUUAUAGGCAAUACUGAGGUAACACGACCAUUUUAGUGUCCCAGGCACCAUUCAAAUGCUUUCCAGCGAUGCACCCAUUUAAUUCUCACAAAACCUUAAAAGGCAAUAUGAUUAUUCCCAUUUUACUGAUAAAAGGACAGAGGCACAGAGAGGUUAAGAAACAUGUCCAAGGUUACACAGCUAGGGAGUGUCUAAUAAAUGCUACUUUCCUUCAAUUCUUUUUAGGCUAUUGACUCCCGUGGGCAGAAAAUGAGACUGGUCCCUAAAGCUCUGCUCUGAACAUGAGAUCAAGUGUCCCUAAUCUGUUUCCUCAUUCCUCUGCUUAUAAACGUGCACUUUUGCUUGGCAGGUACAAUUGUAGGUAGUUUAUAGGAUUUUGUAAAAGCAAAAUUCCUUUUAACAUUUUAGGUUGUUGAGAUAAGAGUAUGCUUGUUUUCAUUUUUCAGUAAUUUGCAGCCAUUGGUGCUUUCCUUCAGCUGGGACUCUGCAUAAGAAUGGCCCAGAAAAGGGACAAUGACUGAGCAGCAGUCUUCUUGGGUGGAAUGUAUGAUCCAGGGCUUUUCUGGAAAGUGAGCCGAGCCUGCUCCAGCUUGCCAGGGAUGGUUAUUAUUAUUAUUUUUUAAUGGCCACACCUGGAGCAUAUGGAAGUUCCCAGGCCAGAGAUUGAAUCUGAGCUGCAGCCACAACCUAGGCCAAUGGAGGGAUCCUUUAACGCACUACACCCAGGAGGGGAUCUAAUGAGUGCCUCAGCAGCUGCUGCAAUCAGGUGCUUAAUCUGCUGCACUGCAGUGGGAACUCCUGGAGCCAGUUCUUUUUUUAAUGGUUAUCUCUAAACUGCAAAGACAAAACAAACUGCUUAAACAUUAGCUAGCAGUGCCUUUGUCCCUCCUGCUCACCUCUCCAGCCCCCUCUUCUCCACUCCAAGGUCCAGUCUAGGCUCAGCCUAGGGGGACGGUGGAAAUGAGCGGUGGGAGAGCGCGAGGCCUCCCUGAAAGCUCUCUAGGCUCAGGUCCCCUCUACGCCGCCCUCCCACGCCCGCUAGGCUUCAGGGGUCACUGAGGCUGCUGUGGCACCCGGGCCCAGCCCCUCGCUUUAUUAAAGUCUCUCUAAAUUGCCCACUUUGCAGGGGACAGCUGGUUUCUGCCUCUUACACCACUGAUGUGCACAAGGGAUAUUUCAGACCCUCUCCUCUUAUCCAGGUCUCACUCCCACAGCAUCCAGUCAAAAUGACCUCCACCUGGGCCUCCCUCCAUUCGAAGGGGUCCAGCGCCCGGGAGAUCCCAGCUCAUUGUAUUUAAAGGAACUGAUGGGCCUCGAGUCUGGAAGCCUGAAUACAUCCGGGGAGGAGGUCCCGCGGGAAACUGACAGAUGAAUAUUCCAAGCCCAGGCCUUCCAAAGUGUUCGAGAGGCACCCAGCUAGGUCCGCUGUCCCCGGGGUCUGACUGAGACGUCCUCUUUGUCAGCGCCUCUGCUACAGGCAGCAGCGCGCCCAAGACCUUCGGGAGUUCCUGGCUGAGAAUUAACCCCACCUCCUCCCACCAGCUCCACCAAUAGGAGGGCAGGGGUGACACCUCCCCUGCAUCAGCCACCAAUGAGCAGCCCGGAUCCUGUGCCCGGCCUUAAAAACGCCGGGAGGUGGGGCACCUUCAGGAGAUGCUGUCCUUUUUGUCCUGCCUUGCUCCUGGGAUGCUGACCGCCGGCCUGUCAGCUUUCGGAGAAACAGGAAACGCUCGCAGGCUGGUCCACCCUUGGCACUCUUGGUUAUUUCCAGGUCCAGAAAGCAAUGUAAAACUCAUCCUGUUACGGUAAUAUGAGUCAGCUGAAUCCUGUUGGGGCUUCUUCCCCAGGUGCACACAUGUACGGUUGGGGGAUGGGGCAGGGAUUGGCGAGCAAAGGAUCCUAGACUCUGCAAGCGGGAGGUUGGUGAGCUUCUGACCGACUCCCUCGAUCAUCCUAAUUUCACAGACAAGGAAGGGGCGCGGUUUGCAAUCUCACCCCUGGCAGCACUAUUGCAUCCAACCCUGCUCUCUAAUGGCAGUGAGCUAUUUUCUAAGAAGUUUUUCUAACCCCCUGACCAAAGGCCUAGAAGCUCAGGUCAAAGACGCUUUGUUAAAAACUGGUUGUUCAGAACCUGAGGAGGGAUGAUCCUGGCAUAUUGAUGAAAGUGCCGCCUCCAAAAGCCCUUUCUGAUGAGUCCUAUUGGAGUGUUUGUUCCCUUUUCUGAAAUCCUGUUUCUAGGGAUCCCCCAAAGUAGCCUGUAAACGUUAUCAUUCACCUAUAUCAAUCCACAUUUCCUGUGUAAUGUCACUGCUCUUCUUGUGCACAGUACACAGAUGCCAGGCACCUUUUCCAUUCCCCCUCCUACCCAACCUGAGGGUGUGUGUUGAACUUGGAUGGAUAGUCAUCCUAGGACAGAAGCCCAGAAGUCCAAGGACUGGGAUUGAAGAAGGUCUGAGUGCUGAUGCCGCGGCCAUCCAAGCUGGGACAAAGCUUUCCGCAGCCCAGUCAGGGAUGGGGGUGGGGGAGGGAUGGGGGGAGUGGUGCCAGAUGGGACUGUUUUCUGAGGCAGGGCAGAUAAGACUUCUUUUUUCCCCACUACCCUGCAACUACUACUAAUGGUGGUAUUAUUAAGAGCUUACCAUGGAGCAUGUGUUUUAAUUACUUCUCUCAACCCUAA
Molecule: long non-coding RNA, 6389 nt
Filed under: Sus scrofa (pig)
Lineage: Eukaryota; Metazoa; Chordata; Mammalia; Artiodactyla; Suidae
Description: lncRNA (ENSSSCG00005037209.1)
Source: RNAcentral